UAAUGAUUGGAAGAAAUAUAAUCUUAUAAAAUCCGUGUUGGGAUGUUUGUGUGGACCAUAUAUGUAAGAAACGGGCACUGCUAGUUGACUUGCAGAAGUGACAUUGCUGGCUUUGGUCAAUUUCUCCUCAAGAGCUCCUCUAAUACAUUACGCCAAGUUUGAGAAAGCUAGAUCGAGGUUGAAGAUCAAAGCUGUUCAGAGGAGUAUAAAAGGUUGUGGUGAAGGAGGAUGCCGACGACACUCGAGAAAGAGAUCUUGCUCCAGCUUCAAUGAACUUAUGAGUAGAUCGGAGAAAGAGCACUGACCUCCAGAGCGCUGACCUCCUCAUCAAACAAGAAGUAUUACUCAAUGCAUCAUUCAUUAGCAGCGGUGAACUCCUCCGAGCUUCAAGCACAAAACAGGAAAGCAAAAACAGAAUUAGAGGAGAAUGGAAAGUAGUACGGACUGUUAGGAAAUGGG
Molecule: long non-coding RNA, 459 nt
Organism: Lycium ferocissimum
Lineage: Eukaryota; Viridiplantae; Streptophyta; Magnoliopsida; Solanales; Solanaceae
Exons: 3
Source: RefSeq, a predicted model, not a curated record